RNAcentral lists this ribosomal RNA (253 nucleotides) under uncultured bacterium. RNAcentral describes it as "partial 16S ribosomal RNA". It matches the Rfam family "Bacterial small subunit ribosomal RNA", at positions 524 to 776 of the family's 1533-position model. The record is from RNAcentral.
UACGAGGGGGGCGAGCGUUGUUCGGAAUUAUUGGGCGUAAAGCGUGCGUAGGCGGAUUUGUAAGUCAGGGGUGAAAUCCCGGGGCUCAACCCCGGAACUGCCUUUGAUACUGCAAAUCUCGAGUCCGGAAGAGGUGAGUGGAAUUCCUAGUGUAGAGGUGAAAUUCGUAGAUAUUAGGAAGAACACCAGUGGCGAAGGCGGCUCACUGGUCCGGUACUGACGCUGAGGUGCGAAAGCGUGGGGAGCAAACAGG